Molecule: non-coding RNA, 25 nt
Filed under: Cricetulus griseus (Chinese hamster)
Lineage: Eukaryota; Metazoa; Chordata; Mammalia; Rodentia; Cricetidae
Source: RNAcentral
CUUUAAAAUUGGGGGUUGUGCAAGC